CGUGUGAUAUGCAUGUGCAUCUGCACACAUGUUGGGAUGGAAUUGGCACAUACGUGUGAUAUGCAUGUGCACCUGCACACGUCAGGAUGGAAUUGGCACAUACGUGUGAUAUCCGUGUGCAUCUGCACAUGUCGGGAUGGAAUUGGCACACAUGUUGGGAUGGAAUUGGCACAGAUGUGUGAUAUCCGUGUGCAUCUGCACGCAUGCGUCAGAAUGGAAAAUGCUGAAUUGGCUGUUUCUUGCCCCCAUGGAUGGUGAAAUGAAGAUGUUUCUCCUCUCCCUGUGUUUGUUCUGCAUUUUCCAAAUAUGUUACAAAACUGUAUUACUUUUAUAAUCACGAAAGUUACAAAAACACACAUUUACACGACUGUUAUUUCCCUGACAAUAACUAGGGGUGUCCCUUCGCUUUUCCCAGCUGUGCACCGUAGAGCAGAAGGGUUCCACGGAUGGGACCGGGGCUUCCAGGCAGGGCUCUGGCUCCCAGGCCUCCAGCCACAAGCUUCAAGCCGGCUGCUUCCAGGCCCAGGGCUUCUGGCCGGGCAGCCUCCCUGGAUGUUGUCUCCUCAGGGCAGCCAGGGCCUCAUCAGACACACGAGGUCACAGCCCUUCUCUGUGCUUCCGCUGCCACCCGCUGAUCUCAGCUGUUAUCUUGACACAGAAGAAAGUCAAACUGCAGCCUGUCCCAGCUUAUCUCUGGGUUAUUUCCGCAAAGAUCCACGCUUGGGUCCCCACCCUUCCCUCCAACCUGCACUGUGCUCGGAAGCCAGACGUCCUUAAAUGCAAGCGUGAUCUCUUCCUUCUGGCCUCCUGCGUCCUAGGGGCAAAGGUCAGGCGCCUAAACGUGCUCAUCUCUGAGUGACGGCCCAGCGCCUUCAUCUCCAUUACUCAGCGAAUGUCCAGUGUCGGUGAGCCCGUGGGGGGCGGGGGUGGGGGCGGCCCUGGGCCCUUAUGGCCCAGCAGUGCGACUGAGAUAAAGGAACCAGGAGGCUAGUGAGAGGGUCCCGUGCCCGCCUGCCUGCCGGGAAGGCCCCGGCUGUGGAGGGAGCCGUGUGGGCAGUGGGGGCAGAGGGCCAGCGAGGGCCCCAGGGAGCUGACCCCAGAGGCUGAACAGAGGCGACAGGAGGAAGGCCUGGGGAGGGCAGGGUGUGGCCCCGUCCCUGGCCCCAGGAAGGCCAGUCGGUCGGGGGAUUCCAGAGCUUGAGGUCUCCUGGAUGGGAGAGACUCGAGGGGAGGCCAAGUUGGGGCCCAAAUGGGCAGCGCCUGACACAGGAGCGGUCCCCCGACUCCCUGUGUGGAAAACCAGGAGAGAACCCCGCUCUGGCUUUGGAGACACAACCCCCCGGGGUAGGAGCCUCUCCUGAACUCCCCGCAACGUUCCUCCAGCCUCUCCUGGACCCCGUGGUCAGCCCUGUGGCUUCCCUGCAUGACCUCUCUGCUGGGGGGCAGGGACGCCAUCUCCCCUCACUGUCCCGUGCCUGGCACAGGACUGCCCCCCACGAAGUGCUCCACAGAAGGACAGAAACCCUGCAGUCCCCGAGAAGGCGGGGAU
Macaca mulatta (Rhesus monkey) is the source of this 1549-nucleotide long non-coding RNA. The record is from Ensembl. Lineage: Eukaryota; Metazoa; Chordata; Mammalia; Primates; Cercopithecidae.